CUUUCCCUCUUUCUCUAGGCCUAACACAUGCAAGUCGAACGGCAGCACAGUAAGAGCUUGCUCUUACGGGUGGCGAGUGGCGGACGGGUGAGGAAUACAUCGGCAUCUACUUUUUCGUGGGGGAUAACGUAGGGAAACUUACGCUAAUACCGCAUAAGACCUACGGGUGAAAGCAGGGGAUCUUCGGACCUUGCGCGAUUGAAUGAGCCGAUGUCGGAUUAGCUAGUUGGCGGGGUAAAGGCCCACCAAGGCGACGAUCCGUAGCUGGUCUGAGAGGAUGAUCAGCCACACUGGAACUGAGACACGGUCCAGACUCCUACGGGAGGCAGCAGUGGGGAAUAUUGGACAAUGGGCGCAAGCCUGAUCCAGCCAUACCGCGUGGGUGAAGAAGGCCUUCGGGUUGUAAAGCCCUUUUGUUGGGAAAGAAAAGCAGCAGGUUAAUACCCCGCUGUUCUGACGGUACCCAAAGAAUAAGCACCGGCUAACUUCGUG
RNAcentral lists this ribosomal RNA (492 nucleotides) under uncultured bacterium. RNAcentral describes it as "partial 16S ribosomal RNA". It matches the Rfam family "Bacterial small subunit ribosomal RNA", at positions 36 to 507 of the family's 1533-position model. The record is from RNAcentral.